CUGGGAUGAUGCUUCUUUAGCCAAAUCAGACAUUUCGAUGUGCUCCUUAAGGCAUCCACCUCAAUGCUAUUUGUUGGAUGGGAUGCCUUUUGUUGAAGCACAUCCUCUGAUGAUACCCUCGGGAUUGGUUUCUUGUCUGACCAGA
This is a small nucleolar RNA of Hibiscus syriacus, 145 nucleotides long. RefSeq annotates it as small nucleolar RNA snoR127. The record is from RefSeq and is a predicted model, not a curated record. The transcript has a single exon. NCBI's taxonomy places the organism in Eukaryota, Viridiplantae, Streptophyta, Magnoliopsida, Malvales, Malvaceae.